CUUGAUUUGACUAUAGACAUAUUUACUGUUCAAGAGUUUGUCUUAUUAAAGGCAGUAUAUUUUUAGGUUUUAAUAUACAUUUAUCCUUAUCUUUAUUACAAUAUAAUGGCUCUUAAAAGACAGAUCAAUAUUUUUGUGCAUUCUUAAUCUUUUAAGAGAUAUAACCAAUUGUUACAUAAUAAUGUGUGACAGUGGCGGAUCCAGAAAUUUUCAUAAGUGGGGGCCCACUGACUGACCUAAGAGGGGGCCCGCUCGAGUCACGCUUCAAGUGAUUCCCUAUAUAAGCAACCAAAUUUUUUCCCAAAAAAGGGGGGCCCAGGCCCCCUGCCCCCCCCCCCUAAAUCCGCCUCUGUGUGAUUAUUAUGAGUUUUAGACAAGAAUUUUAAGUAGCUGGCGACUGGACCAAAUCAAUUGUAAUUUGUACACAAUGUUAUGUACAACAAAACAAAGGACAAUAUGUUUGUCCAUUUGACAGUCAGUUGACCUUGUUUGGACUUUUUAUAGUAGGUUUUCUAAAAUACAUAACUAUUUAUUUCAUAUUAUAAAGUAUUAAAAAUAACACAAUUUUGCUGUUACCAACAACUAAAGCAUAGAUGUCAUGAUAAGUUGUACAGUGCAUGAACACACAGCAUUUUUACAUAUGUUUUAUAUAUGAUGACUUUAACUUUAAAAAAAACACUAAAAGAACCGUAUAUUUAUGUGAAACUGUAUAUCUUAAUUUCCAUAGCAAACGUAGUUAAGAUUGCAUAUUUUGUUGGCUAAAGAGAAGUGUAAUGUAAUGUUAAAAGAGUUCAUCAUCCCAUCAGACAAAAUAUCUGUAUAUAAAGGUUUAUUAUAGGUUAACACUUGUUUAUACAAUUCAAGUAUUUGUUUGUCAUUUUUUAUAGCAACAAAUCUUUGCACAUUAUUAAAACCAGUCACUCAAAGUGAUGUUGAAAUGUUAGUGAAUAAAUACUAUGGAUGUGAUGUUAUAGUGAAAACUUAUAAUUGUUUUGUUAAAUAUUCGUUAGAUUAUAUUAGGCAGUGAAGUAAAGUUUGGAAUUUUUGAGUGGAUGAAAUUCCAAAAUGUCUGUAUGUAAAAUGAAAUUGUCAAAAAUAUAUUCCCAAUAUCGAAACAAUAACAUUUUGGAAUGACAAUACAGGGUUUUGCUAUCUGAAAAAAAACCACCACAUAGACACCUAGUUUUGACUUGCUGUUAAAAGGACACUUUUCUUCUCUUUACUGCUGAUUUGUAUUGCUCAUAUUACCCCCUUUCUUUGAUAUUAAAACACUUAUCCUACAACAAUCUGCACCACAAGGUACUUUUUGUUAAAAAAAAAACUGCUUAUGUUGAUGACUUUCACUGUUUCAUAAAAAAAACUAGGCAACAAAUUUUACUUUGUCAGUUUCGAAAGGAUUUCACCAUUUUUGAAUAUUCUUGAUAGUUCGGUAAUUUUUAAUUCAUUUUUUACGAGUUCAAAUUUCCACAGACAAUGAGGAAGCCUACUGCUAGAAUUUUGUUAAUUAAUUGAGGAAAUGAUCAUAUGAUUCUUUUGAAAACAUUCUGAAGGUUUUCAUGGCAGAAAUCAUCAUAAUUCUUAUAUUGAGUAAAAUCAUGUCACUGAUCAGUUGAAACAGUCUUUCAUACUGACUUUACCAUAUUGAAGUGAUUGUUGUUGGUUGUUUUGCAAUCUUACAUAUAACAGAUUUCCUGCUAGCCUUGAUCUUAAUAAGAUAGACCAUUUGUUUUUUGGUAUCUGGAGUACAGGCAAAACAUAAUGUCCACGAUUUUAGUUGUGCUCAAGCAGCUUUAGAGCUUUAAAGUGUUUAAGUAUUUAAAUGUUGAUUUCUCUGAUUGGAGUUUGUGUAGGAAGCCAGUAGUGUUAUGCUGUGUCUGAAUUUUUAGGAAUGUAUGAGUAAUUAUUUCUGUCAUGCUCAAUUCAAUCUGGUAAAUUUAAAUCUUUUUUUCUGAUAUCCUAAUGGAUGUGUCCUCUAUGCCUAACAUUUAAUGUCAAUUGAAUCUGUCAAAUCUACAAUUGACACUGUCAAACUCGGUACUUAUUCCUAACUUCAAUAGGAUUUUCUUAAUAAAAAAAAUGAAUAAGUGUAGAUCAUCAAUAGUUAAAGGAAAAGAUAUGUAUGCAUUUGAGAAAAUGAACCUUUUUGGGGUAUGAAUGAUUGAAAGAAAGAAAACCUGUAGGAAAUGAAUGGAUAAGAUAAAGGUUCCUUCUUUGGAAACAAAAUGUGCUUUGGGGCUUAUUGUAUGGAUUCACCCCUAAAGUUGUAUUGAAGGAACCAAUGGAAACCUGCAGCAUAUAUUAACACUCUGAUAAUAGUUAACCAUUAUUUAGUAAUUUUACAUAUGAUGAACAUCAGAAAUCACUGUUAUAUUUGGAUUACAGCAUGUAAACAAGUAUAAAUGUGUAAUAUUCUAACUAUUUUAUUCAGGUAAUUUCAAAGUCUACAAAUAUUGUGACAAGUGUUUAACUAUUACACAAUGUAUCUUCAUAAAGUAUUUUAUUUAAGGUAUAUCAUCUAGUGCAAUAUUGUCAGAAAUGACACCUUAUCUAUCAUUGUUUUAUGUCUUACAAAUCAAAAAC
RNAcentral lists this long non-coding RNA (2580 nucleotides) under Mytilus galloprovincialis (Mediterranean mussel). Lineage: Eukaryota; Metazoa; Mollusca; Bivalvia; Mytilida; Mytilidae. The record is from RNAcentral.